This 98-nucleotide signal recognition particle RNA is filed under the name Chlorobiota bacterium. RNAcentral describes it as "signal recognition particle sRNA small type". It matches the Rfam family "Bacterial small signal recognition particle RNA". Rfam says of the family: The signal recognition particle (SRP) is a universally conserved ribonucleoprotein involved in the co-translational targeting of proteins to membranes. Archaeal SRP consists of a 7S RNA and homologues of the eukaryotic SRP19 and SRP54 proteins. Lineage: Bacteria; Pseudomonadati; Chlorobiota. The record is from RNAcentral.
UUGGCAGGACCGCAUAGCCAGCUCCUGCCGAAUCCCCCAGGCCCGAAAGGGAGCAAGGGUAAGGCGGUUGAGCGGCUGGUGCGGAGCCCUGCCAUUUU